RNAcentral lists this ribosomal RNA (253 nucleotides) under uncultured bacterium. RNAcentral describes it as "partial 16S ribosomal RNA". It matches the Rfam family "Bacterial small subunit ribosomal RNA", at positions 524 to 776 of the family's 1533-position model. The record is from RNAcentral.
UACGUAGGGGGCGAGCGUUGUCCGGAUUUACUGGGCGUAAAGGGCGCGUAGGCGGUAGCACAAGUCAGUUGUGAAAUCUCCGGGCUUAACUCGGAAAGGUCAACUGAUACUGUGCGACUAGAGUGCAGAAGGGGCAACUGGAAUUCUCGGUGUAGCGGUGAAAUGCGUAGAUAUCGAGAGGAACACCUGCGGCGAAGGCGGGUUGCUGGGCUGACACUGACGCUGAGGCGCGAAAGCCAGGGGAGCGAACGGG